RNAcentral lists this long non-coding RNA (1158 nucleotides) under Vitis vinifera (wine grape). Its description in RNAcentral is "long non-coding RNA (VVIN_LNC005709)". The record is from RNAcentral. Lineage: Eukaryota; Viridiplantae; Streptophyta; Magnoliopsida; Vitales; Vitaceae.
GCAAAUGUUAAUAUGGGAUCAUCUUGUGGUUCCAGUUCCAGAUGUGAUGAUAUGGCAUGUUGCUUGAAAUUUUGGCCAAAAGAUGUUAAGAAGGCAGUGAGGGUGUCAUUUUUAUAGCUUUGCUCAUUUACAAUUAUAGUAGAGGAACUUCUGGAAGUAGUUGGCGACAGAAGGUGUGUACUUGGUUUUCUGUCUAGACCACCAAUAAUUAUAGAUUCUUUAUAUUUGGAAGAGGCUUAGUCUUAUUUUUAUCGUAAAAAUUUAAGUCCUAUUUUGUUACCAGGUCUAUUCUCAUUUCUAAUUGCUUAUAAAACGUCUAGAGUCUUAUAGUAAGGUCCAUUAUACCAAAUGAAUGUAGAGAGUUUCAGGUUAACAUAGAUGAGCAAGGAAAAAAAAAAUUAUAUUUGACAUUGUAUCUUUUUCUAUUCUAGUUUCUUCUUCCUCGGUUUCGUCUUCCUCCCACAUUCUCCUACUAUCAGGGCUAUAAUAUUGCUUAAGAUUGCUUGGUUGCCUUUUGUAGAUUAUAGAUUCUUUAUAUUUGGAAGAGGCUUAGUCUUAUUUUUAUUGUAAAAAUUUAAGUCCUAUUUUGUUACCAGGUCUAUUCUCAUUUCUAAUUGCUUAUAAAAUGUCUAGAGUCUUAUAGUAAGGUCCAUUAUACCAAAUGAAUGUAGAGAGUUUUAGGUUAACAUAGAUGAGCAAGGAAAAAAAAAUUAUAUUUGACAUUGUAUCUUUUUCUAUUCUAGUUUCUUCUUCCUCCUUGGUUUCGUCUUCCUCCCACAUUCUCCUACUAUUAGGGCUAUAAUAUUGCUUAAGAUUGCUUGGUUGCCUUUUGUAACUGGGGCCCAUCACCCACAUGAUUAGGUUUUGCCAUAUAUGACAUUAUUGAAAUAGGCCAGGGUUUUUUUUUUUUCCUUACAUCUGUUUUCAACUUGCUGUACCAUGAUAUUUCACUUUGAUCUGAUAUGUGAUUGCAACAAUAACGUGUGAUGCACACGACUCUGUUCUGUGUUUGAUAUUGGCAAUAAUUACCUUCUACUUUGUUGUUUUUAAUAAUCAUGCUCUAAUCUUAUCAAUAUUUCUUCUUGGAUAUUUGUUCUCUUGAUUUUUUUCAUUUCAUGACCUUAUUGCUAGAAAUGACACAAACCUGUUUUCAAUUCC